UACGUAGGGUGCAAGCGUUGUCCGGAAUUAUUGGGCGUAAAGGGCUCGUAGGCGGUCCAUCGCGUCGGGAGUGAAAAGCUGGGGCUUAACCCCAGUCCUGCUUCCGAUACGGGUGGGCUAGAGGUAGGUAGGGGAGAACGGAAUUCCUGGUGUAGCGGUGAAAUGCGCAGAUAUCGGGAGGAACACCAGUAGCGAAGGCGGCACUCUGGGCCGGUACUGACGCUGAGGAGCGAAAGCGUGGAGAGCAAACAGG
This 253-nucleotide ribosomal RNA is filed under the name uncultured bacterium. RNAcentral describes it as "partial 16S ribosomal RNA". It matches the Rfam family "Bacterial small subunit ribosomal RNA", at positions 524 to 776 of the family's 1533-position model. The record is from RNAcentral.